RNAcentral lists this ribosomal RNA (512 nucleotides) under uncultured soil bacterium. RNAcentral describes it as "bacterial SSU rRNA". It matches the Rfam family "Bacterial small subunit ribosomal RNA", at positions 26 to 504 of the family's 1533-position model. The record is from RNAcentral.
AGAAUGAACGCUGGCGGCGUGCUUAACACAUGCAAGUCGCACGAGGCGGGGGGGGCAACCCCUCCAGUCGAGUGGCGGACGGGUGAGUAACACGUGGGUAACCUGCCCGGAUGUGGGGAAUACCUCGGGGAAACUCGAGCUAAUACCGCAUGACAUCUUCGGGGCGAAAGUCCUGACGAUCAAAGCGGGGUCGCAAGAUCUCGCGCUUCCGGAUGGGCCCGCGCCCGAUUAGCUAGUUGGCGAGGUAACGGCUCACCAAGGCGACGAUCGGUAGCCGGCCUGAGAGGGUGAUCGGCCACACCGGAACUGAGACACGGUCCGGACUCCUACGGGAGGCAGCAGUGGGGAAUCGUUGCGCAAGUGGGCGAAAGCCUGGACGCAGCAACGCCGCGUGGAGGACUGAACGGCCUUGGGUUAGUAAACUCCGUGUCGGCGUAGGAAGUAAAGUCGGUUACGGGCUAACGUACCCCGGACGUUGACUGUACCAGCAAACGGACGCCCGGACUAACCUC